AUGUCGAUGUUCCCAGGGAUGGAUCUUACUAAAAUGGAUGCUCCAACGCUUACCCUCCUUGGAGCAGCUUGUUGUGUUAUGUUAUCUAUGCAUUUCACAGUACAGUUGGUAUCACAACAUCUUUUCUACUGGAAAAAUGCCAAAGAGCAGAAGGCCAUACUCAUUAUUGUGCUAAUGCCUCCACUGUAUGCCAUAACUUCCUUUGUUGGUCUUCUGGAUAUUAAGGGAAGCAAAGCGUUUUUUACAUGCUUGGAGUCUGUUAAAGAAUGCUAUGAGGCACUGGUUAUUGCUAAAUUUCUGGCAUUGAUGUACAGCUACUUAAAUAUAUCUAUUAGCAAAAACAUUGUACCUGAUGAAAUCAAAGGGAGGGUGCUUCAUCAUUCUUUCCCUGUCUCUCUUUUCCUGCCCCGCAAUGUUCGGUUGGAGCACAAGACAUUAAAGCUUCUGAAGUACUGGACCUGGCAAUUUGUUGUUGUCAGGCCUGUGUGCUCCAUUCUGAUUAUUACACUUCAGCUUCUUGGGCUGUACCCCAGCUGGGUCAGCUGGACGUUCACAAUUAUACUGAACUUUUCAGUCUCCAUGGCAUUAUAUGCCUUGGUCAUAUUCUAUCACUUGUUUGCUAAGGAGUUGGCACCUCACAAGCCUCUUGCUAAGUUUUUGUGCAUCAAAGGGAUUGUCUUCUUCUCUUUCUGGCAGGGCUGUGCACUGGAUAUUUUGGCUGCUGUAGGGGUGAUUCAGUCUCACCAUUUCUGGCUGGACGUGGAGCACAUCCAGGAGGCAAUCCAGAAUAUCUUGAUUAUCCUGGAAAUGGUCGUCUUCUCAGUCCUCCAGCAAUAUGCAUACCACGUCGCUCCGUACAGCGGCGCUGACAAGGCGAAAUUCGAGAAGAAAAAUGAAUGA
This 900-nucleotide ribosomal RNA is filed under the name Triticum aestivum (bread wheat). Its description in RNAcentral is "partial small subunit ribosomal RNA". Lineage: Eukaryota; Viridiplantae; Streptophyta; Magnoliopsida; Poales; Poaceae. The record is from RNAcentral.